Long non-coding RNA from Tachysurus fulvidraco (yellow catfish), 756 nucleotides. RefSeq lists it as uncharacterized. The transcript is spliced from 3 exons. The record is from RefSeq and is a predicted model, not a curated record. NCBI's taxonomy places the organism in Eukaryota, Metazoa, Chordata, Actinopteri, Siluriformes, Bagridae.
GGUUAAUUUUUUUGACACACGCCUCAGAGCUUCGGUGUCACUGAUGUGGAUAAAUGCUCAAACAUUGACUGUUAUAUCUGCUAUCUGCCAAAGAAGAUUUAAGCCAAUUGCUGUUUCUCCUGUGUUGUUUUUUGUUUGGUUCCCUGGCUGGCCGGUCUCAGAGGUGUGUGCAGCAUAUAGAACGGAGGUCAUAGAAGCCUUUAGUAUCGCCACGUAUACAGCACAGUGGAAUUCUUUUUUUCACAUACCCCAACUGAGGAGGUUGGGGUCAGAGUGCAGGGGCAGCUAUAAUACAGCACCCUUGGAGCAGGGAGGGUUGAGGGCCUUGCUCAAGGGCCCAGUAGUGGCAGCUUGGCUGGGCUCGGUCCGGUUGGCUGGGGCUUUGUUUUGUAUUUCUUUUUUUUAUAUAACACUUUCCCAGCCUUACAUUGCCAGCUUGAUUCCUAGUGCUUGCUUUCUGUGUAUGGAAUCAAUGUUUGCCAUGUUUUCUUGAAGUGGUUAUGAGAGAAGGUUUAUGUUUUGAGUUGUUAGUUUUGUUUUCUUUUCAGUAUGUAUUAUCAGGGGAAUGUCCCCCUAUGCUUUUAGGGUCUGUCACAGGAAACUAGCUAAUAUAGUAAGAGUGUGAGCUGGCUGUUAGCAUCUUGGAGAGCUGGGACCAAUUUUGAUGAGUUAUAUACAUAAAUCAUUUCAUGUCUAUAUGUGUUUGAUUUACACAACAAUCAUUUGCUGUCCUAUUUUUGUAAUGAAUCUUUGUAC